Molecule: ribosomal RNA, 274 nt
Filed under: uncultured bacterium
Lineage: Bacteria
Description: partial 16S ribosomal RNA
Rfam family: Bacterial small subunit ribosomal RNA
Source: RNAcentral
CUACGGAGGGUGCGAGCGUUAAUCGGAAUUACUGGGCGUAAAGGGUGCGUAGGCGGCUUGAUAAGUCGGAUGUGAAAGCCCCGGGCUUAACCUGGGAAUUGCAUUCGAUACUGUCAGGCUAGAGUAUGUCAGAGGUUGGCGGAAUUCCUGGUGUAGCGGUGAAAUGCGUAGAUAUCAGGAGGAACACCAGUGGCGAAGGCGGCUAACUGGGGCAAUACUGCCGCUGAGGCGCGAAAGCGUGGGGAGCAAACAGGAUUAGAAACCCUAGUAGUCC